This 314-nucleotide unclassified non-coding RNA is filed under the name uncultured Tremellomycetes. Its description in RNAcentral is "sequence contains 5.8S rRNA gene". Lineage: Eukaryota; Fungi; Basidiomycota; Tremellomycetes. The record is from RNAcentral.
GAACGCACCUUGCGCUCCCUGGUAUUCCGGAGAGCACGCCUGUUCGAGUGUCAUGAAACUCUCAAGCAAGAAUUAAGCUUUAUUGCUUGAUUCUUGAUUGGAUUUGGACUCUUGCCGCGUUAUUGCGGCUGGUCUUAAAAGUAUUAGCUGGUCUGUAAGAAAUCUUUGGGUUUGACUUGGCGUAAUAAUCUUAUUCGCUGAGGACACUUCGGUGGCCUAAUUUCUUUACUGGACUGCUUCUAAUCGUCUCCUUUGUGAGACAACUUUCAUUCAAUCUGACCUCGAAUCAGGUGGGACUACCCGCUGAACUUAAG